CCACUAUGCUCCUUCUCUGAAACCACAUUUUAAAAAGAAUAGUCUAAGGCAUAGGAAAAAAAAAACUAGGUUAUAAAAUAGCAAUAUAUAAACUGGGCAUGGUGGCUUACGCCUAUAAUCCCAGCACUUUGGGAGGCUGAGGUGAGAGGAUUGCUUGAGGCCAGGAGUUUGAGACCAGCUUGAGCAACAUAGGGAGACCCUAUGACUCUAUUUUCUCUACAAGCAUGUGCCUUGGGAGGUCAAGGCUUCAGAGAGCCAAGAUCACACCACAGUACUCCAACCUGGGUAACAAAGUAAGACUCUGUCUCAAUAAAAGUAAAUAUUAAAGUAAAAAUAAAAACAAACCACAGGAAAAAAGGCCUGGGGUAAUCCCUCAUCACUGCAAAUUUACUAAUUAUUUAAUUUUGUUUUGUUUUGUUUUUGAAACAGUCUCACUCUAUCACCCAGGCUGGAGAGCAGUGGCAUGAUCUCAAUUCACUGCAACUUCUGUCUCCCGGGUUCAAGCAAUUCUCCUGCCUGCUCAGAGCCCUCCUGAGUA
RNAcentral lists this long non-coding RNA (538 nucleotides) under Homo sapiens (human). Its description in RNAcentral is "HSALNT0029223". The record is from RNAcentral. Lineage: Eukaryota; Metazoa; Chordata; Mammalia; Primates; Hominidae.